UACGUAGGGAGCAAGCGUUGUCCGGAAUCAUUGGGCGUAAAGCGCGCGUAGGCGGCCUUGUAAGUCCGUUGUGAAAGUCGAAGGCUCAACCUUCGAAAGCGGGUGGAUACUGCAGGGCUAGAGUCCGGAAGAGGCGAGUGGAAUUCCUGGUGUAGCGGUGGAAUGCGCAGAUAUCAGGAGGAACACCAACGGCGAAGGCAGCUCGCUGGGACGGUACUGACACUGAGGCGCGAAAGCGUGGGGAGCGAACAGG
Molecule: ribosomal RNA, 253 nt
Filed under: uncultured bacterium
Lineage: Bacteria
Description: partial 16S ribosomal RNA
Rfam family: Bacterial small subunit ribosomal RNA
Source: RNAcentral